GGUUAAGCGACUAAGCGUACACGGUGGAUGCCCUGGCAGUCAGAGGCGAUGAAGGGCGUGCUAAUCUGCGAUAAGCGCCGGUAAGGUGAUAUGAACCGUUAUAACCGGCGAUACCCGAAUGGGGAAACCCAGUGUGACUCGUCACACUAUCAUUAACUGAAUCCAUAGGUUAAUGAGGCGAACCGGGGGAACUGAAACAUCUAAGUACCCCGAGGAAAAGAAAUCAACCGAGAUUCCCCCAGUAGCGGCGAGCGAACGGGGAGGAGCCCAGAGCCUGAAUCAGCAUGUGUGUUAGUGGAAGCGUCUGGAAAGGCGCGCGAUACAGGGUGACAGCCCCGUACACAAAAGCGCAUGUGCUGUGAGCUCGAUGAGUAGGGCGGGACACGUGGUAUCCUGUCUGAAUAUGGGGGGACCAUCCUCCAAGGCUAAAUACUCCUGACUGACCGAUAGUGAACCAGUACCGUGAGGGAAAGGCGAAAAGAACCCCGGCGAGGGGAGUGAAAAAGAACCUGAAACCGUGUACGUACAAGCAGUGGGAGCACAGGUUUACCUGUGUGACUGCGUACCUUUUGUAUAAUGGGUCAGCGACUUAUAUUCUGUAGCAAGGUUAACCGAAUAGGGGAGCCGGAGGGAAACCGAGUCUUAAUUGGGCGUUAAGUUGCAGGGUAUAGACCCGAAACCCGGUGAUCUAGCCAUGGGCAGGUUGAAGGUUGGGUAACACUAACUGGAGGACCGAACCGACUAAUGUUGAAAAAUUAGCGGAUGACCUGUGGCUGGGGGUGAAAGGCCAAUCAAACCGGGAGAUAGCUGGUUCUCCCCGAAAGCUAUUUAGGUAGCGCCUCGUGAAUUCAUCUCCGGGGGUAGAGCACUGUUUCGGCUAGGGGGCCAUCCCGGCUUACCAACCCGAUGCAAACUGCGAAUACCGGAGAAUGUUAUCACGGGAGACACACGGCGGGUGCUAACGUCCGUCGUGAAGAGGGAAACAACCCAGACCGCCAGCUAAGGUCCCAAAGUCAUGGUUAAGUGGGAAACGAUGUGGGAAGGCCCAGACAGCCAGGAUGUUGGCUUAGAAGCAGCCAUCAUUUAAAGAAAGCGUAAUAGCUCACUGGUCGAGUCGGCCUGCGCGGAAGAUGUAACGGGGCUAAACCAUGCACCGAAGCUGCGGCAGCGACACUGUGUGUUGUUGGGUAGGGGAGCGUUCUGUAAGCCUGUGAAGGUGGCCUGUGAGGGUUGCUGGAGGUAUCAGAAGUGCGAAUGCUGACAUAAGUAACGAUAAAGCGGGUGAAAAGCCCGCUCGCCGGAAGACCAAGGGUUCCUGUCCAACGUUAAUCGGGGCAGGGUGAGUCGACCCCUAAGGCGAGGCCGA
RNAcentral lists this ribosomal RNA (1366 nucleotides) under Salmonella enterica subsp. enterica serovar Newport. Its description in RNAcentral is "partial 23S ribosomal RNA". It matches the Rfam family "Bacterial large subunit ribosomal RNA", at positions 1 to 1405 of the family's 2925-position model. The record is from RNAcentral. Lineage: Bacteria; Pseudomonadati; Pseudomonadota; Gammaproteobacteria; Enterobacterales; Enterobacteriaceae.